GUGCAGUAGGGGAGACUGGAAUUCYUKGGUGUAGCGGUGGAAUGCGCAGAUAUCAGGAGGAAACACCGAUGGCGAAAGGCAGGUCUCUGGKCUGUAAYUGACGCUGAGGAGCGAAAGCAUGGGGAGCGAACAGGAUUAGAUACCCUGGUAGUCCAUGCCGUAAACGUUGGGCASUAGGUGUGGGGGACAUUCCACGUUUUCCCGCGCCGUAGCUAACGCAUUAAGUGCCCCGCCUGGGGAGUACGGCCGCAAGGCUAAAACUCAAAGGAAUUGACGGGGGCCCGCACAAGCGGCGGAGCAUGCGGAUUAAUUCGAUGCAACGCGAAGAACCUUACCAAGGCUUGACAUGGACCGGUAACGCCUGGAAACAGGUGCCCCACUUUGUGGCCGGUUCACAGGUGGUGCAUGGUUGUCGUCAGCUCGUGUCGUGAGAUGUUGGGUUAAGUCCCGCAACGAGCGCAACCCUCGUUCUAUGUUGCCAGCGGUUCGGCCGGGGACUCAUAGGAGACUGCCGGGGUCAACUCGGAGGAAGGUGGGGACGACGUCAAAUCAUCAUGCCCCUUAUGUCUUGGGCUUCACGCAUGCUACAAUGGCCGGUACAAAGGGUUGCGAUACUGUGAGGUGGAGCCAAUCCCAAAAAGCCGGUCUCAGUUCGGAUUGAGGUCUGCAACUCGACCUCAUGAAGUUGGAGUCGCUAGUAAUCGCAGAUCAGCAACGCUGCGGUGAAUACGUUCCCGGGCCUUGUACACMCCGCCCGUCAAGUCACGAAAGUUGGUAACACCCGAAGCCGGUGGCCUAACCCCUUGUGGGAGGGAGCCGUCGAAGGUGGGACCGGCG
RNAcentral lists this ribosomal RNA (837 nucleotides) under Arthrobacter luteolus. RNAcentral's name for it is "bacterial SSU rRNA". It matches the Rfam family "Bacterial small subunit ribosomal RNA", at positions 646 to 1473 of the family's 1533-position model. The record is from RNAcentral. Lineage: Bacteria; Bacillati; Actinomycetota; Actinomycetes; Micrococcales; Micrococcaceae.